AGGGCGCUGGCAGCUGAUAAAGAAUAAAGAGACGUGGGGUUAGGUCUGGGCAAGACAGAACAGAACUUCAUUGAGAAGUAACGGGAGUGCAGAGAGGGACACAAAAGGCCAAACGGAGCAGAAACCAAAGAAAAUAAAACUAUUGCAAUUGAAAGCUCCUCAUGCAUAUUAAGCAGAAAAGGGCUUUGAAGACGAAAUAGGUGAGAACGUGCUUGUGGCAAAUGACUUUUUAAGGGUUUUUUUGGCUCGAAGCAUAUGCAAGAAUUGUGCAAUGAAAA
Molecule: long non-coding RNA, 278 nt
Organism: Spea bombifrons (plains spadefoot toad)
Lineage: Eukaryota; Metazoa; Chordata; Amphibia; Anura; Pelobatidae
Exons: 2
Source: RefSeq, a predicted model, not a curated record